This is a long non-coding RNA of Pan troglodytes (chimpanzee), 619 nucleotides long. RefSeq lists it as uncharacterized. The transcript has 5 exons. Lineage: Eukaryota; Metazoa; Chordata; Mammalia; Primates; Hominidae. The record is from RefSeq and is a predicted model, not a curated record.
UUUGUGAUUUUGGCACAUUUUUUCCCAUUUCUUUUGGUGAGAAAAAUGAAGCUCAGAGAGAUUAAGUGACCUGUGCAAGACUGCCUAGCCAGUAAGGGUGGAUUCUACGCUGCUCAUGGUAAAUCUGGACUCUUCUCUGUGACAGUCUGCCAAACACCUGGUUAUGCAUCCUUCCUUGUCAUUCCUGAAGUGAAAAAUGAAGGCAAGAAAUGCUCCUGAAGUGAAGAAUCAGAAGACACUAAGGAUCAUGUGAAAGAGCUCCCUGAGGACAGAUUAAGAGGAGAUGAGUUAAAGCUGCAAAUACCAAGAUUUAAGAUGAAAUUAAGAAUGCUGAUCAGCUAAAGGACCUUCACACACAAAGGUUAUCCUGGAUUAUUCAGCCCUAUUUGCAUCACCUUGCGGGUACUGGGGUUUGGAGGAAUUGGCUCAGAUGCUGAUACCGUGGCUACUGCUAUUGUGGUGUCUUGGUCCAUUGUGCUGCUAUAAUAGAAUACCUGAGACUCGACAAUUUAAAAUGAACAGAUAUUUAUCGGCUCAGAGUUCUGGAGGCUGGGAAGUACAAUAUCAAGAUGCUGGCUGUUUGCGAGGGUCUUCUUGCUACAUCAUUUCAUGGCAGAAG